This 439-nucleotide long non-coding RNA is filed under the name Monodelphis domestica (gray short-tailed opossum). Its description in RNAcentral is "lncRNA (ENSMODG00000032441.2)". The record is from RNAcentral. Lineage: Eukaryota; Metazoa; Chordata; Mammalia; Didelphimorphia; Didelphidae.
AAAAGAACCAGGAGAUCAUUGUGCACAGUAUUUUGUAAUUGAAAUUGUAAUAAUGAUCAACUGUGAAAAAUUGGGCUACUCUGAACAAUAAAAUGAUCCAAGACAAUUGCAAAGGAUACAGGAUGAAAAAAAUGCUAUCUAUCUGAAGAGAGAGAACUGAUGAACUCUGAAUACAAACUAGAGACUAAUUUUCUCAUUUUAUUUUUUCUUAAAAUGUGGCUAAUAUGGAAAUAAUAUAUAUGAUUUCACAUGUAUAAUUGAUAUAUCACUUGCCUUCUCAGUGGGUGGAGGAAGAAGUGGGAAGGAGAGUGAGAAUGCAGAACUUCAAAUAUAAAUAGAAAAAAAAUUAAAGGAUUUUGCAGAUGAAUACUAUACUGUACACAAUGGAAAUGCAGUUUGCCACUACUACUGACACAAGUUUGCCAAGUUCAAUUUUUUA